This 274-nucleotide ribosomal RNA is filed under the name uncultured bacterium. RNAcentral describes it as "partial 16S ribosomal RNA". It matches the Rfam family "Bacterial small subunit ribosomal RNA", at positions 523 to 796 of the family's 1533-position model. The record is from RNAcentral.
AUACGGAGGGUGCAAGCGUUAAUCGGAAUUACUGGGCGUAAAGCGUGCGUAGGCGGUUUAUUAAGUCAGAUGUGAAAGCCCCGGGCUUAACCUGGGAACUGCAUUUGAUACUGGUAGACUAGAGUAUGGUAGAGGGGGGUAGAAUUCCUAGUGUAGCGGUGAAAUGCGUGGAUAUUAGGGGGAAUACCAGUGGCGAAGGCGGCCCCCUGGACCAAUACUGACGCUGAGGUACGAAAGCGUGGGGAGCGAACAGGAUUAGAAACCCCUGUAGUCC